Molecule: long non-coding RNA, 972 nt
Filed under: Rosa chinensis
Lineage: Eukaryota; Viridiplantae; Streptophyta; Magnoliopsida; Rosales; Rosaceae
Description: sRNA RchiOBHm_Chr1g0320391
Source: RNAcentral
GGAUAAUCACCCAGACACUCAGAUCGUUUUAACUUCAUAUGACAAAACACUGUAUCGAUUGGAGUCUUUGAAAUUAUUCACAGUCCAAGUUUUGAGGGAAACAGUGCGGAAAGUUUGAGAAUUAGUUCAGUUUGGGGCAUUUUCAAGAAGCGAAGAGACUUAGUUUUGCAAAUUUCAGGCUGUUUUGACAAUCUUACAGGGAGGGGUUUGGACAGGAAGCAAAGAGAAAAGGUUUCGAACAACAAUUUGGAGGAAGGGAAUUAGCUAUUAGACAAGUAACACUGCUUUUCUGUUUUUCCGGUUCGGGAUUUUGCUGCUUUUUCUUCAGAAGGAACAGAAGUUAUAACCUUCUCAUUGGUUUUGAUAAUUGUGAAUCUUUCUAAUUCUAGACUGCAGAUCUUUGCUGUACUUGGAUUUUCUUGAAGGCAUCAAACCAACCAUCAUUACAGUAUUACACAGAUGUGCCACUUUGAUCCAAGUGUCUAGGCCAAUCAAUCAUUCUACUUUCUGCAGCUUCUGUCUUCAAAUCGUCUGUUGCAUAUGAAAACCGGGUGCUGGAGCUGAAGGGGCCACUUGAACUCUUAAAGGGCGUUAGAGCAGAAGAAUGUACGUGCAGUUGUUCAGGAAAGCAUGAUACUACCCUCAUCUUAGCUGUAUUUAUAAUUAGUCGGUCAAAAAAUGCUAUUCAAUGCAGAAAAGCCGAAGAAUGUAUGUGCAACUGUUCAAGAGCUGGGGUACAAGAGGGUCAUGCUAGCAUAAAAUCAUUGGCUGCCAGAGAGCAACGCCUGAAUACAACUUUGGCCGUGUUUUAUAGUAUCAGGCACUAAUGGGGGAGCAUAAUACCAGAGACUUCUGAUAUGUCACCAAGCAUGUUUGGUGUUUAUAAAGAUACUGAUGUUGUUUCUCAUGUUUCGUGCUCCUUAGCAGUUGUAUGUUUAAUUGAGAGUAAAAAUAGAAUAGAAAAGAGUUGAC